GGCGGCAUGCUUUACACAUGCAAGUCGGACGGCAGCACAGAGAAGCUUGCUUCUUGGGUGGCGAGUGGCGAACGGGUGAGUAAUAUAUCGGAACGUACCGAGUAAUGGGGGAUAACUAAUCGAAAGAUUAGCUAAUACCGCAUAUUCUCUGAGGAGGAAAGCAGGGGACCUUCGGGCCUUGCGUUAUUCGAGCGGCCGAUAUCUGAUUAGCUAGUUGGUGGGGUAAAGGCCUACCAAGGCGACGAUCAGUAGCGGGUCUGAGAGGAUGAUCCGCCACACUGGGACUGAGACACGGCCCAGACUCCUACGGGAGGCAGCAGUGGGGAAUUUUGGACAAUGGGCGCAAGCCUGAUCCAGCCAUGCCGCGUGUCUGAAGAAGGCCUUCGGGUUGUAAAGGACUUUUGUCAGGGAAGAAAAGGACAGGGUUAAUACCCCUGUUUGAUGACGUACCUGAAGAUAGCCCCGCA
RNAcentral lists this ribosomal RNA (467 nucleotides) under Neisseria subflava. Its description in RNAcentral is "bacterial SSU rRNA". It matches the Rfam family "Bacterial small subunit ribosomal RNA", at positions 38 to 497 of the family's 1533-position model. Lineage: Bacteria; Pseudomonadati; Pseudomonadota; Betaproteobacteria; Neisseriales; Neisseriaceae. The record is from RNAcentral.